RNAcentral lists this transfer RNA (88 nucleotides) under Leucobacter soli. RNAcentral describes it as "Leucobacter sp. IMT-300 tRNA-Gly". The record is from RNAcentral. Lineage: Bacteria; Bacillati; Actinomycetota; Actinomycetes; Micrococcales; Microbacteriaceae.
CGGCGGUACCGACGGUGGCGGGGGCGGUCGCCGCCCGCCCGAAGAGGUAGUCCUGCGUUCCAUCGCCGUUCACGUCGUCGACCACCGA